GUGCUCACUUCAGCAGCAUAUACACUAAAACCCCAGAACAAUACAGAGAUUAGCAUGGCUGCUAUGCAAGGAUGACAUACAAACUCGUGAAACGUUCCAUUAAAAA
This is a small nuclear RNA of Cercocebus atys (sooty mangabey), 106 nucleotides long. The record is from Ensembl. Lineage: Eukaryota; Metazoa; Chordata; Mammalia; Primates; Cercopithecidae.